Molecule: non-coding RNA, 30 nt
Filed under: Rattus norvegicus (Norway rat)
Lineage: Eukaryota; Metazoa; Chordata; Mammalia; Rodentia; Muridae
Source: RNAcentral
UAGACUCCAUCUAGAUAAGUACACCUGCCU